GAUGAACGCUGGCGGCGUGCCUAAUACAUGCAAGUCGAGCGAACGGACGAGAAGCUUGCUUCUCUGAUGUUAGCGGCGGACGGGUGAGUAACACGUGGAUAACCUACCUAUAAGACUGGGAUAACUUCGGGAAACCGGAGCUAAUACCGGAUAAUAUUUUGAACCGCAUGGUUCAAAAGUGAAAGACGGUCUUGCUGUCACUUAUAGAUGGAUCCGCGCUGCAUUAGCUAGUUGGUAAGGUAACGGCUUACCAAGGCAACGAUGCAUAGCCGACCUGAGAGGGUGAUCGGCCACACUGGAACUGAGACACGCUCCAGACUCCUACGGGAGGCAGCAGUAGGGAAUCUUCCGCAAUGGGCGAAAGCCUGCCGGAGCAACGCCGCGUGAGUGAUGAAGGUCUUCGGAUCGUAAAACUCUGUUAUUAGGGAAGAACAUAUGUGUAAGUAACUGUGCACAUCUUGACGGUACCUAAUCAGAAAGCCACGGCUAACUACGUG
This 497-nucleotide ribosomal RNA is filed under the name uncultured bacterium. RNAcentral describes it as "partial 16S ribosomal RNA". It matches the Rfam family "Bacterial small subunit ribosomal RNA", at positions 28 to 507 of the family's 1533-position model. The record is from RNAcentral.